Non-coding RNA from Ilyonectria destructans, 72 nucleotides. The record is from the annotation of a GenBank genome assembly. Lineage: Eukaryota; Fungi; Ascomycota; Sordariomycetes; Hypocreales; Nectriaceae.
GCGUCUAUGGUGUAGUGGUUAGCAUUGUUGCCUUCCAAGCAAUAGGGAGGGGUUCAAUUCCCCUUAGUCGCA